RNAcentral lists this long non-coding RNA (259 nucleotides) under Eucalyptus grandis. RNAcentral's name for it is "long non-coding RNA (EGRA_LNC007856)". Lineage: Eukaryota; Viridiplantae; Streptophyta; Magnoliopsida; Myrtales; Myrtaceae. The record is from RNAcentral.
UACUUGCUAAUUACACAAUUCAAUUGCCUAACAUGCAUCACAAUUAUCUAAUAAUCACUCAUCUACUCUAAUCUAACCACCUAAUUGCACUUAGUUAAAUCUAAUUAACCAUUAAGCAUCAUUAGUCUACUAAGUAAGGAUUAGUGAGAUUACUCACUUGAUUAAAAGCGGGGACCGGAUCACCGUGACGGCGACGCGACGGCGGUUGAAACCCGAACUUUCGGUGGCGUCGACGGACACUUGGGCCGGGCCUACAAGC